Molecule: ribosomal RNA, 253 nt
Filed under: uncultured bacterium
Lineage: Bacteria
Description: partial 16S ribosomal RNA
Rfam family: Bacterial small subunit ribosomal RNA
Source: RNAcentral
UACGGAGGGGACUAGCGUUGUUCGGAAUUACUGGGCGUAAAGCGCACGUAGGCGGAUUUGCCAGUCAGGGGUGAAAUCCCGGGGCUCAACCUCGGAACUGCCUUUGAUACAGCAAGUCUUGAGUUCGAGAGAGGUGGGUGGAAUUCCUAGUGUAGAGGUGAAAUUCGUAGAUAUUAGGAAGAACACCGGUGGCGAAGGCGGCCCACUGGCUCGACACUGACGCUGAGGUGCGAAAGCGUGGGGAGCAAACAGG